UACGAAGGGGGCUAGCGUUGCUCGGAAUUACUGGGCGUAAAGGGCGCGUAGGCGGCACUGUUAGUCAGGCGUGAAAGUCCUGGGCUCAACCUGGGAACUGCGCUUGAUACGGCAGAGCUAGAGGAUGGAAGAGGGUCACGGAAUUCCCAGUGUAGAGGUGAAAUUCGUAGAUAUUGGGAAGAACACCGGUGGCGAAGGCGGCGACCUGGUCCAUUACUGACGCUGAGGCGCGACAGCGUGGGGAGCAAACAGG
This 253-nucleotide ribosomal RNA is filed under the name uncultured bacterium. Its description in RNAcentral is "partial 16S ribosomal RNA". It matches the Rfam family "Bacterial small subunit ribosomal RNA", at positions 524 to 776 of the family's 1533-position model. The record is from RNAcentral.